This 75-nucleotide transfer RNA is filed under the name Marmota monax (woodchuck). Its description in RNAcentral is "tRNA.Asn". The record is from RNAcentral. Lineage: Eukaryota; Metazoa; Chordata; Mammalia; Rodentia; Sciuridae.
AGAGGUGUAGCUCAGUGGUAGAGGCCUUACUUGUUUAGCAUGUUCUAGGUCCUGGGUUCAAUCCCAGCACCACCA